CGCUUCGGUCAGCAAGGUCUGCUUGAUCAGCAGACAAUUUCAGUACAAAACAAUCCAUGCCUGAGAUACACUUCUCUCCCAUGUAUUGUGACGGAGAGAAUACAGCUGAUAUUGCCAUAGGAUCUAGUCCCUGCAUGUGUUUUUCCAUCUUGAAAGUCAACAAGUUGGGAAUUUUAUGGCGCUUUAUAUAUAUAUAUAUUAGUAUAUAUGGUGUUUUAAUUACCAAUACAAGUAAUGCAUUAACUUUUAAUCUAGAGAAUUGAAAGCUAAGAGUAUAUAUAUACUUUCAAAUGGUAACAGUCAACAAUAUGAAUCUCAUGAACUGUUCGAACCAUUUAACUAUAUCUGCUCCAAGUUACACUCAAAACUUCAUGUAAUUAAGAGGCCAUCACCUCUUCAAUGACUGUCUUAGGAGGAAGAAUUUUGAAUACAACCCUAGCCUUCAUGCAUUUACUUAGCUAUGUUAAUACUAGAACAUGAACUACGUUUCUUUUUAGAUUCCCAGAAAACAAAUAUGAUGAAGAAAAUGGGUACUUGUACUGUUUCCAUGAUGAUCUCAAAUGAAUCACGUGCAGGGAGCUUGUUGGUGCCUGCAGCUUGAGCAUCAUUGUCAAAACCUACCGGUGUCUAUAUAUCUUCAAUAAACAGCUAGCAUUGGUUUCGUUUCUGACAAAAAAUGAUUUAACCGACUCCAUUAUUUGACAAAGGGGAACCAAGAUCCGGCAUCUUGGGGUGGUUGGAUCUUGAUUCCGGUAAAAUUAGGAAUGAUAUUGAACAGAGGCAAUCUAUAAUCAUCUAGUCGCAUAUAUGCUGCACUUGAAUAGGGACGCUCUCUGUCUGAUAAGUAAUUAACACAGGAUUAUUGUACUCUUUUUCAUCAGGCAAUUCAAUGUGUUCAUACUGGUUUUUUUUUUGUUUUUUUAAAUUGUAAUUUUAAGAUUUAAACGUGAAUGAAAAUAUUUAAACCUGGGAUAUUAAAAUAAAGUGAAAAUUAAUUUCAAAAAUCAUAUAUACAUGAAAUUUAAUGUCACCACUCAUAUUUAUAUGGUUGCCGUAUGAUAUCUACAUAAACAAAGACAAAAUUAUAGCCAGGAUCGAACUGGUCUUCCUAAAUAUAUAUAUAGUUGCGAGCCAAGAUUCAAAGUUAGGUCACAAUUUAUUAAUAAAUAGCCAAAAGGGCAUCGAUAAUUAUUACUCUUAUUUACUAGACAUGCAAAGCAAAAAUGAAAUAACUCUUGAUUAGUACCACUUGCCUGAAGCGCGCGGCGUAGAGGCCGAACUCCACCUUUCGCAGCAUGAGAGCCAAGCCAAGGAGUGUGGCGCCAAGCCACAUUGCCAUCACUACCAGCUACAACUUUAUGGCCUUCAACGACUAGCUCAAUUAGCCACUUG
Molecule: long non-coding RNA, 1392 nt
Filed under: Populus tremula
Lineage: Eukaryota; Viridiplantae; Streptophyta; Magnoliopsida; Malpighiales; Salicaceae
Description: long non-coding RNA (PTRE_LNC001194)
Source: RNAcentral